AUAGUACUCCCUCCGUCCAACAAAAAAUGUCUCAAGUUUGUCAAAAUUUGGAUGUAUCUAAACAUGACUUAGUGUAUAGAUGCAUUCAAAUUUAGUCAAAGUUGAAACAUUCUUUGUUGGACGGAGGGAGUAGUGG
Brachypodium distachyon (stiff brome) is the source of this 136-nucleotide non-coding RNA. Lineage: Eukaryota; Viridiplantae; Streptophyta; Magnoliopsida; Poales; Poaceae. The record is from Rfam.